Molecule: long non-coding RNA, 3618 nt
Organism: Xiphophorus maculatus (southern platyfish)
Lineage: Eukaryota; Metazoa; Chordata; Actinopteri; Cyprinodontiformes; Poeciliidae
Exons: 3
Source: RefSeq, a predicted model, not a curated record
CUCUCAGUUUCCACAGGAUGCGGUCGCUCGAGCGUCACAGGCGAGGGCGGCUGCGGCUCAAAGCCUCUGGGACAGGAAGCGGGCGGGGCGGGGCCGGCAAACCGGGCCAGGCGCCCCGAUCAGAACCGGAGCGGGUCACACACUUCCUGCCGCCGCCAACAUGGUGAGAGCGCAGCAGGCGAACGAUCAGCAGCUGCAGAAACAUCCAGGAAACCUUCAGAGCCACAGUGGAGCAGCAGAGAACCUUCAGAGCUGAGUUUCACCAGUCAGUGACUGAACCCAAGACGAUUCACUGAUCUGGUUUCUGUAAAGGUCAACAGAAACACUUUUCAGCCUCCUUCAGACUGGAAACAACAAACCAGCAGCAACAAAACACAGAAGUGUCUGGAUCACCAGUGGAAUCUGAAGGUGGCUGCUAGGACUCCAGCUUCCUGCAGGUGGCGUCCUUCAUACUGGCUGUUUUAUUGGACAACAGCGCCAUCAAGUGGAUGUUUAAAGAACUGCAGCUCAGAGGAGGGAUGAAAACUGUUGAUUGUUUUUGUUUUCUAUUUUCAUUCAGGAGGUUUUCACAAAAAAACAGAACAGAGACAUUAAUAUACAUUUUUAUAAUAACCAGAAUGAUAUUGGAGGUGAAGUGGUGAUAAAGAUCUAUUGACUAAGUUUAUUUUACCAAUUUACAACAUACUCCAUGUAGACACAAGUUAAGUCUGGCACAUGGUGCUUGGGGGUUUUCCCUUACCAUAUUUCCUGUUUCUCCACAGGUUCAGGAUGGAGGCUGCUGCCAAGUUGAGUUGCAGUUUUCUUUAAUGGUCCAAGGUGGCAUUUAAGAAAAUAAAAGUCAUUUUACUUUUCGAACUAAGCUGCAUCUGGAUUCAUCUUCUUCCACAAUUCAUCGUUCCUGACAGCAUCAUUGAUGAGUCCAUGGCUGUUUGUGUCUCUGUUGUCCAGUGAUAAACUGGAAAUCUGUCCAGUCUGUCAACUAAAAACAGUAACAUGGAUGGAUAGAUGGAUGGAUACAGUACAUUUCUUAAUGUCUCUAUGUCUUUGCUACAUAAAGAAAUGCUACAUAGACCUACUUUAUCAUGUCACUGUUUGGAAUUUGAAUUCCGAACAGUGACAUGAUAUAUGAAAAUGUAAAAGAUAGCUUUUUAUUAGGCAGAGCUAUAAAACAUUUGGGUGCUCUGUUAGCUUAUCAAGCUAAGGCCAGCAGGUGAAGGUCUGUUCACUCAUAAAACAAUAGCCCUGUAUUUGGUUACAUUUGCAUUCAGACUAACUGCAGACAUGUUGUGGCCUCCUAUAAUGAAGUUUAAUAUUCUGCAAAAGAACUAACUUUAUCUGAUUAGUCCAUUACAUGGAUUGUACCAAUCUGUUAAGCUACUGUUUCUAAGAGAAAGGAUCCUAAAUGGGAUAUGCACAAGGCAUCCCACACUAUCCCAGUUCUGUAACUCACACCACAAACCUCUAACAAAACAAGAUACUCCAUAGCAGUAACACAGUUAUGCCAAAAAAGAUAGUCUUUGUGGGAUGAUAUUAGUAUGAGUUUGCACUGCAAUCAGUGGGUUGCUAAUUUGAUAGUCCACUCCACCCGCCUCUAUCAUUGUGUCCUUGGGCAAGGCACUUCAACCGCCUUGCCUGCUGGUGGGGUUCAGAGGGCCCAAUAGGCGAGUGUGAUUGUGAAUGGGUGAAUGACUAGUGUGAAGAGCUUUGGAUUACUCUGGUCUUGAUAAAGUAAUAUAUAAGUACAAGCCAUUUACCAUUCAUUGUCCUGUAGAAGUGAUCUUUUUCACAGUCAUUACAUAUUUCAAGCUGCAGAUAUACAUAAGGCAUUUCCCCAAUAUUUCCCAGAUGUCCCUCUGUUUUUCUGAACAGUAAUGAUUACAGGAAACACAAGGAAAUGAAUGAGUGUCACAAGGGUUUGUUCAAUGUGAUGACAGCUGAGGGGACAAAACAUUUGAGCCUUUUCCAGACUACAGUUCUGUAUCUGCAGUCUGAUAGGAGUAGAGUGAAGAACCAGUUCAGAGGAUGGUCAGGACUGUAUGGUGGAUGUGUGAUAUGCAUCUGUGUGAUGGUUUGUGAUCCACUGAAGUUGAGGUUAGUAUCUAUGGUGAACCCUAGAGAUUUGAACCAGUAGUGGUUCAACUGGUUCUACACAUCUUUAAGCCUCUAAACUCCAACUUAUGAUGGAUUACUGAUCGUCUUCGGAUCAGUCUGGAGAGUUCAUAAGUGAAUGACUAGAUUAUUUUGUCAGUGUUGAAUUAGAAAUACUGUAAUUCUCUGUGAUGAAACUUCACAGAUAGUGGAUGUUGCCUGUGAAUAGUCCUUUUGUGGCUGUCCCAUCUGCACAAUUGUAGUAAGUAGAGGUGGAUAGUGAACUAUAGCAGUUUGAGUAGAGUUUAUAAGGGACUGAGGAUGCAACCAUGAUGGCCUCCAGUGUUGGUUGAUGAUGCUGAUCUUCCUUCACUGAGUCAUGGUUGGUCCUUUCAAACUCUCCAUCCAAUCAGAACUCAGUAUUUUGACUUGGCACCAACCUCCAUUAAGAUUCUGUGGGUAAACAGAGAAAAGGGGGGGAAACUGCCCCCAAGCACAGUAUGGUAAACAUUAAGCAGUUACUUAUGUUUUUGAGGUUUAUUUCAGUCUAUCCAACCUGAAAACUCAAAUCUUGAUGGGGGGGUUUUCUGCAUCAUGUCUUCAGACUGGAAGACCCUCCUCUUCCUCCAUCGUGGGUCCAGAUGAGUCUCAGCACCAAUCACUGUCCUCCGGAGACCUGUCCAGUAUGUCAACCAACUGCAACGAUGGAUGGCUGGAUGGAUGGAUGUUAAAGACCAAGAAACACAUCAGCUGCAUUUCAUCUUUUCAUCUUUACCAAAAUGGAUUUUGCUUUAUAGUUCUUUACCCAAUAUUGGUUGGCACUACAUUCAGUCAUUCAAGCACACACUGACACGCUGAUGGUGGUGAGCUGAGUUGUAGCCACAGUUGCCCUGCGGUAGUCUGACAAAAGAUACUACUUUAUCAUGUCACUUCAUUUGAAUUCCAAACAGUUCUCAUGACAUAUGAAAAUUUUAAAGAUAGAUUUAUCUCAGGCUGUGCUAUAAAACAUUUGGUUGCUCUGUUAGUUUAUCAAGCUAAGGCCAGUAGGUGAAACUCAUGAGACAAUGACACUGUAGUAGGUUACAUUUGCAUUCAGAUUAACAGUAGACAGUGUGAUGGAGUCCUACAGUAAAUAGUUUAAUGUAAAAUGUUUAAGAGUUUUUAUACCUACUGCCCCUGGAUGUAAAGAGGGCCAGAGACCACAAGUUGACAAAGUCCUUGUAAAAUUGAAAAAAAAAAUUCUUGGUUCCCAAAAGAUUCUUAAAAAUGCUGGAAAGAUGUCAGAAAGGAGGGAACUGUUAGGCCAUGCCAAAUCCAGGAAAAACAGGGACUGUCACCUAUUCUCAAUGGUUCACCUAAACAUUACAUGAGUGGCACCAACCUACUUACCAAGUGUGUCCUAGCUGUGAAAAAUGCACAGCAUUUCCCAUAGAGAGAGAUAUAGGCACCCUCCUGUCAAAUUUUAAUCGGAGUUUGAUUGAUGAGUGAUUUAUGCAGUGUUGUAUAAAGUACUGAAAUCUCAGAGUCAAG